Molecule: ribosomal RNA, 594 nt
Filed under: Escherichia coli
Lineage: Bacteria; Pseudomonadati; Pseudomonadota; Gammaproteobacteria; Enterobacterales; Enterobacteriaceae
Also listed under: 4 other names
Description: partial 23S ribosomal RNA
Rfam family: Bacterial large subunit ribosomal RNA
Source: RNAcentral
GUGCAAUGGCAUAAGCCAGCUUGACUGCGAGCGUGACGGCGCGAGCAGGUGCGAAAGCAGGUCAUAGUGAUCCGGUGGUUCUGAAUGGAAGGGCCAUCGCUCAACGGAUAAAAGGUACUCCGGGGAUAACAGGCUGAUACCGCCCAAGAGUUCAUAUCGACGGCGGUGUUUGGCACCUCGAUGUCGGCUCAUCACAUCCUGGGGCUGAAGUAGGUCCCAAGGGUAUGGCUGUUCGCCAUUUAAAGUGGUACGCGAGCUGGGUUUAGAACGUCGUGAGACAGUUCGGUCCCUAUCUGCCGUGGGCGCUGGAGAACUGAGGGGGGCUGCUCCUAGUACGAGAGGACCGGAGUGGACGCAUCACUGGUGUUCGGGUUGUCAUGCCAAUGGCACUGCCCGGUAGCUAAAUGCGGAAGAGAUAAGUGCUGAAAGCAUCUAAGCACGAAACUUGCCCCGAGAUGAGUUCUCCCUGAGACUUAGAGUCUCCUGAAGGAACGUUGAAGACGACGACGUUGAUAGGCCGGGUGUGUAAGCGCAGCGAUGCGUUGAGCUAACCGGUACUAAUGAACCGUGAGGCUUAACCUUACAACGCCGAAG